This 377-nucleotide unclassified non-coding RNA is filed under the name uncultured bacterium. RNAcentral's name for it is "contains 16S-23S intergenic spacer region". The record is from RNAcentral.
UCCCGGUUAACCCGGGCAGUCUCACUAGAGUGCUCAACUUAAUGGUAGCAACUAAUGAUAAGGGUUGCGCUCGUUGCGGGACUUAACCCAACAUCUCACGACACGAGCUGACGACAACCAUGCACCACCUGUCACCUUGCCCCGAAGGGCUUCACUCAUCUCUGAGUUAUGCAAGGGAUGUCAAGUCUAGGUAAGGUUCUUCGCGUUGCUUCGAAUUAAUCCGCAUGCUCCGCCGCUUGUGCGGGCCCCCGUCAAUUCCUUUGAGUUUUAGCCUUGCGGCCGUACUCCCCAGGCGGGGAACUUAAUGCGUUAGCUGCGGCACGGAUCUCGUGGAAUGAGACCCACACCUAGUUCCCAACGUUUACGGCAUGGACUAC